Molecule: long non-coding RNA, 1146 nt
Organism: Sus scrofa (pig)
Lineage: Eukaryota; Metazoa; Chordata; Mammalia; Artiodactyla; Suidae
Source: RefSeq, a predicted model, not a curated record
CCAUUCUGCAUUCUGGAAGGACCUUCGACUUUCCUUGCAGGCUGUCUGUUAAGUUGGAAAGGACACUUGACAAGCCUCAUGACCCAAAUGCAAACAAGCAAAACCUCCACAAGUACAGCACACUGGAGCAGCAAAAAGGAGCAACUUCUUUUUUGAAGAGUGUGAUUUGCCAGCUAAGUGGUGCUUGGUGCAACAAACCAUUCCCGACCCUGGCCUGGCUUUUUGGAAUGGAUCACCAUCAGGAAAGAAACCUGGAAUAAUCUGUCACACGAGGUAUUUAUUACAGUCAAGGGAAAUGCUACGGACUCUGGCAGAAAGCCUGCUGAGCAGAUAAGAAGAAUCUGAUCUCAUCUGGAGAAAAGGAAGAGCGUAAAGAAGAUUUAAGGUCUGGCCUGGCCAGAGGGAGGAGAGAGAGCAGGAAGAUGCAACAGAAAAAGGAAGGCCCUGACAGGAGGGGCCCCGUGUAUCCUCACUUUGCAGCCUUAUUUGGUUAGAAGCCAUUUUCUUUUUCAGCUUCACUUCCCCCAGGAGGGGCGGUGUGUGAACUACGGCUGCCACCUGUUUGGGUAAUAAAAUGUUCCUGGGACCCAUCGCACUUCUUCACAUACUGUCUCAGGCUGCUUUUGUGAUGCAAGGGCAGAGAGCUUUGUCAGGGACUGUCAGCCCACAAAGCCUAGAAUGUUUACUAUACGGCCCUAAGCAGAAGGCUUGCCAACGUCUGCCCUGCAGCAACAUGCAGGACAAGUGCUUCAUACACAGGAGGCAUUCGACAGUUUAAAAAAAAUUAUAUUUGCUUUUACUUCUAUAUAAUGUUUAAGGGAAUAAUAAUACAACACAGAUUUUUAAAAAACUAGCCACCAAGGACCACACACUGUAUGAUUCUAUGUGUAUGAACUGUCCAGAACAGGUACUCUAAACAGGUAGGAAAUGGAUUAGUAGUUGCCUGGGACUGGCGGAAGGAAGGACAGAGGGGAAAAAAGGUGACUGAAGUUUUUAUUUGGGGUUGAUGAAAAUGUUUUAAAAUUGAUGAUGGGGAUGGAUGCACAGCUUUGUAAAUACACUAAAAAUCACUGAAUUGUGUACUUUUGACAGAUGAAUUGUACAGUAUGUGAAUUAUAUCCCAAUAAAGCUGUUAUUAAAAAAAAA